RNAcentral lists this ribosomal RNA (200 nucleotides) under uncultured bacterium. RNAcentral describes it as "partial 16S ribosomal RNA". It matches the Rfam family "Bacterial small subunit ribosomal RNA", at positions 328 to 539 of the family's 1533-position model. The record is from RNAcentral.
ACGCUCGACACCUACGGGAGCAGCAGUGGGGAAUAUUGGGCAAUGGAGGCAACUCUGACCCAGCAACGCCGCGUGAAUGAUGAAGGUCUUCGGAUUGUAAAGUUCUGUGACGGGGGACGAACACAAUGACGGUACCCCGACAGCAAGCCACGGCUAACUACGUGCCAGCAGCCGCGGUAAUCUGAGCGGGCUGGCAAGGC